UUGACCUCGGAUCAGGUAGGGAUACCCGCUGAACUUAAGCAUAUCAAUAAGCGGAGGGA
RNAcentral lists this ribosomal RNA (59 nucleotides) under Aspergillus flavus. Its description in RNAcentral is "partial 28S ribosomal RNA". It matches the Rfam family "Eukaryotic large subunit ribosomal RNA", at positions 1 to 58 of the family's 3401-position model. Lineage: Eukaryota; Fungi; Ascomycota; Eurotiomycetes; Eurotiales; Aspergillaceae. The record is from RNAcentral.